UAUUCCUCAUUGUUCAUAGCCUCUCUCAAAACAGCUAUUUAAGAAGAAAGCAGAUAAGUUGAUUAAAGUCCAGAAGAAGGCAACUAGGAUAAUGAAGAGUCUUGAGUCUGAGUCACGUGAGGAUUGUUAAAGGAUCUUGGGAUAGUUAACUUGGGGAAGAGAAGACUCAGCUCAUGUUACAGAUGAGGAAAUAAGACAAAGAGGACUAAGUGACCUGCCCGGGAUCAUAGAGCCAACAAGUGUUUGAGG
RNAcentral lists this long non-coding RNA (249 nucleotides) under Monodelphis domestica (gray short-tailed opossum). RNAcentral describes it as "lncRNA (ENSMODG00000047750.1)". The record is from RNAcentral. Lineage: Eukaryota; Metazoa; Chordata; Mammalia; Didelphimorphia; Didelphidae.